CCCUUAGAUGUUCUGGGCCGCACGCGCGCUACAAUGAUGAAUUCAACGAGUUUAUAACCUUGGUUGAAAAGCCUGGGUAAUCUUUUGAACUUUCGUCGUGAUGGGGCUAGACCCUUGCAAUUAUUGGUCUCCAACGAGGAAUUCCUAGUAAACGCAAGUCAUCAGCUUGCAUUGAUUACGUCCCUGCCCUUUGCACACACCGCCCGUCGCACCUACCGAUUGAAUGGUCCGGUGAAAUCUUCGGAUUGAGACUUUGAUUUCUUCACGGAAAACGCUGUUUUAAAAAGUUGAUUAAACCUUACCAUUUAGAGGAAGGUGAAGUCGUAACA
This 329-nucleotide ribosomal RNA is filed under the name uncultured eukaryote. RNAcentral describes it as "partial 18S ribosomal RNA". It matches the Rfam family "Eukaryotic small subunit ribosomal RNA", at positions 1470 to 1796 of the family's 1831-position model. The record is from RNAcentral.